CCUACGGGUGGCAGCAGUAGGGAAUAUUGCUCAAUGGGGGAAACCCUGAAGCAGCAACGCCGCGUGGAGGAUGAAGGUUUUCGGAUUGUAAACUCCUUUUGUUAGAGGAGAUAAUGACGGUAUCUAACGAAUAAGCACCGGCUAACUCCGUGCCAGCAGCCGCGGUAAUACGGAGGGUGCAAGCGUUACUCGGAAUCACUGGGCGUAAAGAGCGCGUAGGCGGGAUAGCAAGUCAGAUGUGAAAUCCUAGGGCUUAACCAUAGAACUGCAGUUGAAACUGUUAUUCUAGAGUAUGGGAGAGGUAGGUGGAAUGCGUGGUGUAGGGGUAAAAUCCGUAGAGAUCAAGAGGAAUACUCAUUGCGAAGGCGACCUGCUAGAACAUAACUGACGCUGAUGCGCGAAAGCGUGGGGAGCAAACAGGAUUAGAUACCCGAGUAGUC
This 440-nucleotide ribosomal RNA is filed under the name uncultured bacterium. RNAcentral's name for it is "partial 16S ribosomal RNA". It matches the Rfam family "Bacterial small subunit ribosomal RNA", at positions 338 to 795 of the family's 1533-position model. The record is from RNAcentral.